UACGUAGGGUGCAAGCGUUGUCCGGAAUUAUUGGGCGUAAAGAGCUUGUAGGCGGUUUGUCGCGUCUGCUGUGAAAUUUCGGGGCUCAACCCCGAACUUGCAGUGGGUACGGGCAGACUAGAGUGUGGUAGGGGAGACUGGAAUUCCUGGUGUAGCGGUGAAAUGCGCAGAUAUCAGGAGGAACACCGAUGGCGAAGGCAGGUCUCUGGGCCAUAACUGACGCUGAGGAGCGAAAGCGUGGGGAGCGAACAGG
RNAcentral lists this ribosomal RNA (253 nucleotides) under uncultured bacterium. RNAcentral's name for it is "partial 16S ribosomal RNA". It matches the Rfam family "Bacterial small subunit ribosomal RNA", at positions 524 to 776 of the family's 1533-position model. The record is from RNAcentral.